This 501-nucleotide ribosomal RNA is filed under the name uncultured bacterium. RNAcentral's name for it is "partial 16S ribosomal RNA". It matches the Rfam family "Bacterial small subunit ribosomal RNA", at positions 29 to 523 of the family's 1533-position model. The record is from RNAcentral.
AUUGAACGCUGGCGGCAUGCCUUACACAUGCAAGUCGAACGGCAGCACGGGUGCUUGCACCUGGUGGCGAGUGGCGAACGGGUGAGUAAUACAUCGGAACGUACCUUAUCGUGGGGGAUAACGCAGCGAAAGCUGUGCUAAUACCGCAUACGCCCUGAGGGGGAAAGCGGGGGAUCGAAAGACCUCGCGCGAUUAGAGCGGCCGAUGCCUGAUUAGCUUGUUGGUGGGGUAAAAGCCCACCAAGGCGACGAUCAGUAGCUGGUCUGAGAGGACGAUCAGCCACACUGGGACUGAGACACGGCCCAGACUCCUACGGGAGGCAGCAGUGGGGAAUUUUGGACGAUGGGGGCAACCCUGAUCCAGCAAUGCCGCGUGAGUGAAGAAGGCCUUCGGGUUGUAAAGCUCUUUUGUCAGGGAAGAGACACCGGCUCUAACGCAGUCCGGGAAUGACGGUACCUGAAGAAUAAGCACCGGCUAACUACGUGCCAGCAGCCGCAGUAA